AGAGUUUGAUUAUGGCUCAGGAUGAACGCUGGCGGCGUGCUUAACACAUGCAAGUCGAACGAAGCAACUAUCUGCUUGCAAGAAAGUUGACUAGUGGCGGACGGGUGAGUAACGCGUGGGUAACCUGCCUCAUACAGGGGGAUAACAGUUGGAAACGACUGCUAAGACCGCAUAACCCGCUAGUGUCGCAUGACACGGACGGAAAAUAUUUAUAGGUAUGAGAUGGGCCCGCGUCUGAUUAGCUAGUUGGUAAGGUAACGGCUUACCAAGGCGACGAUCAGUAGCCGACUUGAGAGAGUGAUCGGCCACAUUGGGACUGAGACACGGCCCAAACUCCUACGGGAGGCAGCAGUGGGGAAUAUUGGACAAUGGGGGAAACCCUGAUCCAGCGAACCGCCGCGUGAGUGAAGAAGUAUUUCGGUAUGUAAAGCUCUAUCAGCAGGGAAGAUAAUGACAGUACCUGACUAAGAAGCCCCGGCUAACUACGUGCCAGCCGCAGC
This 500-nucleotide ribosomal RNA is filed under the name uncultured bacterium. Its description in RNAcentral is "bacterial SSU rRNA". It matches the Rfam family "Bacterial small subunit ribosomal RNA", at positions 8 to 518 of the family's 1533-position model. The record is from RNAcentral.